GGGGGAUAUUGCACAAUGGAGGGAACUCUGAUGCAGCAACGCCGCGUGAGUGAUGAAGGCCUUCGGGUUGUAAAGCUCUGUCUUCUGGGACGAUAAUGACGGUACCAGAGGAGGAAGCCACGGCUAACUACGUGCCAGCAGCCGCGGUAAUACGUAGGUGGCAAGCGUUGUCCGGAUUUACUGGGCGUAAAGGAUGCGUAGGCGGAUAUUUAAGUGAGAUGUGAAAAUCCCGGGCUUAACUUGGGAACUGCAUUUCAAACUGGGUAUCUAGAGUGCAGGAGAGGAAAGCGGAAUUCCUAGUGUAGCGGUGAAAUGCGUAGAGAUUAGGAAGAACACCAGUGGCGAAGGCGGCUUUCUGGACUGUAACUGACGCUGAGGCAUGAAAGCGUGGGGAGCAAAC
RNAcentral lists this ribosomal RNA (400 nucleotides) under uncultured bacterium. RNAcentral describes it as "bacterial SSU rRNA". It matches the Rfam family "Bacterial small subunit ribosomal RNA", at positions 356 to 773 of the family's 1533-position model. The record is from RNAcentral.